RNAcentral lists this ribosomal RNA (1304 nucleotides) under Lactiplantibacillus plantarum. RNAcentral describes it as "bacterial SSU rRNA". It matches the Rfam family "Bacterial small subunit ribosomal RNA", at positions 71 to 1351 of the family's 1533-position model. The record is from RNAcentral. Lineage: Bacteria; Bacillati; Bacillota; Bacilli; Lactobacillales; Lactobacillaceae.
GAUUGGUGCUUGCAUCAUGAUUUACAUUUGAGUGAGUGGCGAACUGGUGAGUAACACGUGGGAAACCUGCCCAGAAGCGGGGGAUAACACCUGGAAACAGAUGCUAAUACCGCAUAACAACUUGGACCGCAUGGUCCGAGUUUGAAAGAUGGCUUCGGCUAUCACUUUUGGAUGGUCCCGCGGCGUAUUAGCUAGAUGGUGGGGUAACGGCUCACCAUGGCAAUGAUACGUAGCCGACCUGAGAGGGUAAUCGGCCACAUUGGGACUGAGACACGGCCCAAACUCCUACGGGAGGCAGCAGUAGGGAAUCUUCCACAAUGGACGAAAGUCUGAUGGAGCAACGCCGCGUGAGUGAAGAAGGGUUUCGGCUCGUAAAACUCUGUUGUUAAAGAAGAACAUAUCUGAGAGUAACUGUUCAGGUAUUGACGGUAUUUAACCAGAAAGCCACGGCUAACUACGUGCCAGCAGCCGCGGUAAUACGUAGGUGGCAAGCGUUGUCCGGAUUUAUUGGGCGUAAAGCGAGCGCAGGCGGUUUUUUAAGUCUGAUGUGAAAGCCUUCGGCUCAACCGAAGAAGUGCAUCGGAAACUGGGAAACUUGAGUGCAGAAGAGGACAGUGGAACUCCAUGUGUAGCGGUGAAAUGCGUAGAUAUAUGGAAGAACACCAGUGGCGAAGGCGGCUGUCUGGUCUGUAACUGACGCUGAGGCUCGAAAGUAUGGGUAGCAAACAGGAUUAGAUACCCUGGUAGUCCAUACCGUAAACGAUGAAUGCUAAGUGUUGGAGGGUUUCCGCCCUUCAGUGCUGCAGCUAACGCAUUAAGCAUUCCGCCUGGGGAGUACGGCCGCAAGGCUGAAACUCAAAGGAAUUGACGGGGGCCCGCACAAGCGGUGGAGCAUGUGGUUUAAUUCGAAGCUACGCGAAGAACCUUACCAGGUCUUGACAUACUAUGCAAAUCUAAGAGAUUAGACGUUCCCUUCGGGGACAUGGAUACAGGUGGUGCAUGGUUGUCGUCAGCUCGUGUCGUGAGAUGUUGGGUUAAGUCCCGCAACGAGCGCAACCCUUAUUAUCAGUUGCCAGCAUUAAGUUGGGCACUCUGGUGAGACUGCCGGUGACAAACCGGAGGAAGGUGGGGAUGACGUCAAAUCAUCAUGCCCCUUAUGACCUGGGCUACACACGUGCUACAAUGGAUGGUACAACGAGUUGCGAACUCGCGAGAGUAAGCUAAUCUCUUAAAGCCAUUCUCAGUUCGGAUUGUAGGCUGCAACUCGCCUACAUGAAGUCGGAAUCGCUAGUAAUCGCGGAUCA